This is a long non-coding RNA of Melanotaenia boesemani (Boeseman's rainbowfish), 342 nucleotides long. RefSeq lists it as uncharacterized. The record is from RefSeq and is a predicted model, not a curated record. Lineage: Eukaryota; Metazoa; Chordata; Actinopteri; Atheriniformes; Melanotaeniidae. The transcript is spliced from 3 exons.
GUGUGAACACAUCUUUACUGUUGAUGCUAUUGUAACCCAUAUGAAAAUUCCUCUUAAAGGUCAUGUUAGAUAUCGCUAUUGAGUUUUCCUGGUUUUCCGUGAAGGCACCAUUUGGUCACUUGACAUCUGUUCAGCCAGUUCCACUUCCUGGUAGUCUCCAUACAAGCCAUCCGACAGAUGUGUGGGAGUAUGGGAGUGGGAAGGCUUUAACAGACGCUGCGAACCCACUGCUGACACCAGGGCUCUCGUGUGGGACGAAUCUUUAAGAGGAUUGGCCAGGUGUGCCCUGUUGGGUACAGAACCUUCCGGAUGGCGAGCUAGAUGCAAGAGCCUGAACCCUGU